This 89-nucleotide small nuclear RNA is filed under the name Dipodomys ordii (Ord's kangaroo rat). Its description in RNAcentral is "U2 spliceosomal RNA". It matches the Rfam family "U2 spliceosomal RNA". Rfam says of the family: U2 is a small nuclear RNA (snRNA) component of the spliceosome (involved in pre-mRNA splicing). Complementary binding between U2 snRNA (in an area lying towards the 5' end but 3' to hairpin I) and the branchpoint sequence (BPS) of the intron results the bulging out of an unpaired adenosine, on the BPS, which initiates a nucleophilic attack at the intronic 5' splice site, thus starting the first of two transesterification reactions that mediate splicing. The record is from Rfam by way of RNAcentral. Lineage: Eukaryota; Metazoa; Chordata; Mammalia; Rodentia; Heteromyidae.
AUCGCUUCUCGGCCUUUUGGCUAAGAUCAAGUGUAGUAUCUGAAAGCAGGGCCUGAGCUAGGACACCCAGUGAGGAAGCACCACCAUCU